GGGAGUGUGGCUUAAUGGUACAGCACUUGCCCUGUAUGUAUGAAGCCCUGGGUUCUAGUCCUAGCAUCACCA
This 72-nucleotide transfer RNA is filed under the name Neotoma lepida (desert woodrat). It matches the Rfam family "tRNA". Rfam says of the family: Transfer RNA (tRNA) molecules are approximately 80 nucleotides in length. Their secondary structure includes four short double-helical elements and three loops (D, anti-codon, and T loops). The record is from Rfam by way of RNAcentral. Lineage: Eukaryota; Metazoa; Chordata; Mammalia; Rodentia; Cricetidae.